AGUCCAAAUAUCACUAGGAGGCUGCGUGUGUGUGUGUGGGGGGGGGGGGUCAAAACCAAGGGGCAACGACCCCUCACCCCACACCCUCUCUCUCUCUGCCCAGCUUUAUUUCUCGUCCCCUUUCGUCUCACCCUCUCUCGUUGUUCGUCAUUGCCGCUCUGAUUCCGGCCGGCUCCGGCGGGUAGGGUUUCAUCGAUGGCGGUGGCGGAAGCGACGGCGGCGGUGAAAACGACGGCCUGCUAGGGUUCACCGCCUCCAUCUUCGUCCCCUCGUUGCAGCCAUGAGUAGCUGGAAUAGCCACUACUAGUCCCCGUGCAACUUCGCGGCGUAUGAUAAAGUCGACAAAGGCGAAGCGAGCACCAACAAGCUAAGAUUACAAAAACAUCCAUGAGCAUUGCAAACACAUGCAUAUAUACAUAUGUCUAACCAUUUUGAUGAUUUCAAAUAUUUGACUUGCCAGGCGUAUGUACGAAAGCCAUCUCCAGCACCUGUCAAGCGGCAGCUAUGUGACGUGGACAUGCUCAGUCGUGAGCUUGUCGCGUCAAAGGAGAUUACAAUGAAGGCCCUCAGGGAGUUGAACAACUCCCCGUGGAAUGAGAGGGAUUAGAUCAUCAACGACAACUUGGAUCACUAUGAUAAGAAACUGAAACUCAAUGACCAGAAGGACAAACUGGCUGCCGAGAUCGAUUCUCUGAAGGAGAUACGGCUUCUGAAGGACGAGAGGGUGGAACUCAAGACACUAAAAGUCCAUUACAGAAAGGAGGGGGAGAGCAACAGUAACAAGUUGCGUGAGAUGAAGAUCAUUCUUCAGAGAGAGAUGUAAUGCGCAUAUGUAGGUAGUUUGGACAUAUUUUCGAAGUUAGCAGUCACUUUUGCUUCUAGCUAGCUAGUAUACUACUGUUUGGGUAUUUGAAGUUAUCACUAGAGGUACUAACCUUUUGUGAAGCCGAAUGUAAGUAAGUUUAAAUGGCUACAUAUAUACUAGGUU
This is a non-coding RNA of Triticum urartu, 988 nucleotides long. The record is from RefSeq and is a predicted model, not a curated record. Lineage: Eukaryota; Viridiplantae; Streptophyta; Magnoliopsida; Poales; Poaceae.